RNAcentral lists this transfer RNA (71 nucleotides) under Cynoglossus quadrilineatus (fourlined tonguesole). RNAcentral's name for it is "tRNA-Tyr". It matches the Rfam family "tRNA". From Rfam's summary of the family: Transfer RNA (tRNA) molecules are approximately 80 nucleotides in length. Their secondary structure includes four short double-helical elements and three loops (D, anti-codon, and T loops). Lineage: Eukaryota; Metazoa; Chordata; Actinopteri; Pleuronectiformes; Cynoglossidae. The record is from RNAcentral.
GGUAGGAUGGCUGAGAGUCUAAGCGGUGGAUUGUAGUCCCAUAGAUGGAGGUUUGAGUCCUCUUCCUAUCA